Molecule: long non-coding RNA, 510 nt
Filed under: Physcomitrium patens
Lineage: Eukaryota; Viridiplantae; Streptophyta; Bryopsida; Funariales; Funariaceae
Description: long non-coding RNA (PPAT_LNC010969)
Source: RNAcentral
CCUAGUUAAUAGAAGUAGCUCGAGAAGCUUCCUAAGUAGGAGUAUAUAUAGGGAUCGAGGCUGAAGAGUUCUUCAGUCUCGACAACACAUCUCUUGGAGUUCUAGUUCACCUUUCUGGUGUUGUUCUUGUACUCAUCUGUUUAAUCUAGUUUUGCCACUUCUUCUUGAACUUCUUGUUAGAUUUCAAGUCUGUAUUUUUUGUUCGUGACAUUGAAGGAUAAGAUAUGGAAGGCUUGAAUAUCUAGUCUAUUGGCACAGAUAUAAUAUCAAUGAUUGUACAUAGGAACCAGUUCGCAACCUUGGAAAUACACAAAUAAAGGUUCAAAAGUUUCAUCAACAACAUCCAUCCUGACCAAAAGUCGUGAAAUGAGGAACAAUAGCUUAGUCAGAUGGCUUCAUCAUGAAGAUUCUUAGUUCUUUGCUUCAUAAAACAGGGGAGGAAGCAGCCUCUGAAGAAGUAGUUUUUUCAAAUUUUUAGAAUAAUAUAAGUUAGUAGUUUGAAUUCACGAC